GUCUAAUGGUGUAGUGGUUAGUGAACCUGCCUGCUAUGCCGAAGGUCCCGGGUUCGAUUCUCGGCUUCGGCA
This 72-nucleotide transfer RNA is filed under the name Plutella xylostella (diamondback moth). RNAcentral's name for it is "tRNA-Ser". The record is from RNAcentral. Lineage: Eukaryota; Metazoa; Arthropoda; Insecta; Lepidoptera; Plutellidae.